This 458-nucleotide ribosomal RNA is filed under the name Theileria annulata. RNAcentral describes it as "SSU rRNA". It matches the Rfam family "Eukaryotic small subunit ribosomal RNA", at positions 486 to 984 of the family's 1831-position model. The record is from RNAcentral. Lineage: Eukaryota; Apicomplexa; Aconoidasida; Piroplasmida; Theileriidae.
CGGGGCUUAAAGUCUUGUAAUUGGAAUGAUGGGAAUUUAAACCUCUUCCAGAGUAUCAAUUGGAGGGCAAGUCUGGUGCCAGCAGCCGCGGUAAUUCCAGCUCCAAUAGCGUAUAUUAAAAUUGUUGCAGUUAAAAAGCUCGUAGUUGAAUUUCUGCUGCAUUGAUUGUGUCCCUCUGGGGUCUGUGCAUGUGGCUUUUUUCGGACGGAGUUUCUUUGUCUGAAUGUUUACUUUGAGAAAAUUAGAGUGCUCAAAGCAGGCUUUCGCCUUGAAUAGUUUAGCAUGGAAUAAUAAAGUAGGACUUUGGUUCUAUUUUGUUGGUUUUAGGUACCAAAGUAAUGGUUAAUAGGAACAGUUGGGGGCAUUCGUAUUUAACUGUCAGAGGUGAAAUUCUUAGAUUUGUUAAAGACGAACUACUGCGAAAGCAUUUGCCAAGGAUGUUUUCAUUAAUCAAGAAC